This 78-nucleotide transfer RNA is filed under the name Opitutia bacterium. Its description in RNAcentral is "tRNA-Arg". It matches the Rfam family "tRNA". Rfam says of the family: Transfer RNA (tRNA) molecules are approximately 80 nucleotides in length. The record is from RNAcentral. Lineage: Bacteria; Pseudomonadati; Verrucomicrobiota; Opitutia.
GCGCCGUUAGCUCAGUUGGAUUAGAGCAAAAGGCUUCUACCCUUUAGGUCGUAGGUUCGAGUCCUACACGGCGUGCCA